Non-coding RNA from Peromyscus maniculatus bairdii (prairie deer mouse), 505 nucleotides. Lineage: Eukaryota; Metazoa; Chordata; Mammalia; Rodentia; Cricetidae. The record is from RefSeq and is a predicted model, not a curated record.
AGAGGCAGGCAGGCAGGCAGGGCGAGGGCGAGAGACGGAGGGAGGGAGCGAGCGAGGCAGACCAGACAGACAGACAGGCGGGCGGGCGGGCAGAGCGAGCCACCCGCCAGGCUGCGCUCAGCCCCGCUCGCAGCGGAGAGAGCAGAAGGCAGGAGGAGGGAGGGGAGGAGGGAGGAGGGAGGGAGAGAGGGAAUCCAGCUACCACCACCCAAAGCCAGCGUCUGCUUUCUGUCCUCAUUUCCUUUUCCCACCCAGCUCGGAGAGCAGAGAAAGGCAGAGAGAGCGAGAAAUAGAGACAGGCAGACAAACAGACAGACAGACAGACAGAGCGGGAGGGAGGAGGGCGGCGGAGGAGGAGCAGGAGGACUACGCGGGGCGCCUUCCCUCCCAGCAGCCAGGCGUCCGCGUCGCUGCCGCUGGCGGAAGAUAGACGCCCCCCGAAAACCCCUCGCCUGGCUCGGACCCACGGAGCCGGCAGCCCAGCACUCCGAUGGGAGCUUGCUUG